AUGUGUUCAUUCACAGUUCCUCCGGUCGUGCUGCAGCUGUUCCUGCUGCUCUUCUUAGCCUCUCCCGCCAAUGCAUGCACCGAGCAGGAGAAGCGCAACCUCCUCCAGUUCCUUGCCGGGCUGUCGAGUGAUGGUGGCCUCGCCACGUCUUGGCGUAAUAACGGCACGGACUGCUGCGAGUGGGAAGGCAUCUCCUGCAAUGGAGAUGGGGCCGUCACUGGGGUCUCCCUGGAGUCUAAAGGACUUGAAGGGCCCAUCUCUCCGUUCCUCACCAACCUCACCAGCCUGCUGCGCGUCAACCUCUCGCACAACUCGCUCUCCGGUGGUCUUCCGGCGGAGCUCAUGUUCUCCAGAAGCAUCAUCGUCCUCGAUGUCAGCUUCAGCCGGCUCAACGGACCACUGCCCGAGCUUCCGUCCUUGGUUACCACUGACCGGCCUCUGCAGGUACUCAACAUCUCAAGCAACCAGUUCGGCUCAGAAUUUCCAUCAGCCACAUGGAAGGUGAUGAAGAAUCUUAUCGCGCUCAACACCAGCAAUAACAGCUUCACUGGGCACAUACCGUCUUCUCUUUGCGUUGUUCUUUGGCUUUGCUUGACCUCUCCUACAACCAAUUGA
Molecule: ribosomal RNA, 615 nt
Filed under: Triticum aestivum (bread wheat)
Lineage: Eukaryota; Viridiplantae; Streptophyta; Magnoliopsida; Poales; Poaceae
Description: partial small subunit ribosomal RNA
Source: RNAcentral